AUUGCAAAUUGCCAGAUUUCAAUGUCAAUGGCGGCCAAAAGAGAAAUCAGACAACGUUGUCAUAUAGCGGCCAUAGCAACAGUCAAAUCAUUUGGUGGAAAAUAUCAGAGCACAACAUAUAGGCACAAAAAUCGAAAUUUUGUUGUUUUAAAGAAUAUUUAAUUUUUGUAAUAGCUGCAAUAUACAUAAAUGUAUGCUUUCUGAAGCUAA
Drosophila elegans is the source of this 210-nucleotide long non-coding RNA. RefSeq lists it as uncharacterized. NCBI's taxonomy places the organism in Eukaryota, Metazoa, Arthropoda, Insecta, Diptera, Drosophilidae. The record is from RefSeq and is a predicted model, not a curated record. The transcript is spliced from 2 exons.